CACCAUGACUUUUCAUUUUGUUGCCUG
Molecule: non-coding RNA, 27 nt
Filed under: Rattus norvegicus (Norway rat)
Lineage: Eukaryota; Metazoa; Chordata; Mammalia; Rodentia; Muridae
Source: RNAcentral